Molecule: ribosomal RNA, 484 nt
Filed under: uncultured bacterium
Lineage: Bacteria
Description: partial 16S ribosomal RNA
Rfam family: Bacterial small subunit ribosomal RNA
Source: RNAcentral
AUUGAACGCUGGCGGCAGGCCUAACACAUGCAAGUCGAGCGGAUGAAGGGAGCUUGCUCCUGGAUUCAGCGGCGGACGGGUGAGUAAUGCCUAGGAAUCUGCCUGGUAGUGGGGGAUAACGUCCGGAAACGGGCGCUAAUACCGCAUACGUCCUGAGGGAGAAAGUGGGGGAUCUUCGGACCUCACGCUAUCAGAUGAGCCUAGGUCGGAUUAGCUAGUUGGUGGGGUAAAGGCCUACCAAGGCGACGAUCCGUAACUGGUCUGAGAGGAUGAUCAGUCACACUGGAACUGAGACACGGUCCAGACUCCUACGGGAGGCAGCAGUAGGGAAUAUUGGACAAUGGGCGAAAGCCUGAUCCAGCCAUGCCGCGUGUGUGAAGAAGGUCUUCGGAUUGUAAAGCACUUUAAGUUGGGAAGAAGGGAAGUAAGUUAAUACCUUGCUGUUUUGACGUUACCAACAGAAUAAGCACCGGCUAACUUCGUG